This 114-nucleotide ribosomal RNA is filed under the name Jaculus jaculus (lesser Egyptian jerboa). The record is from RNAcentral. Lineage: Eukaryota; Metazoa; Chordata; Mammalia; Rodentia; Dipodidae.
UCUUCGGUCAUACCACUCCAUACAUGCUCAAUUUCUUCUGCUCUUGGAAGUUAAGCAAGGUCGGAUCUGAUUAGUACUUAAAUGGUAGAUUGGGAGCACUGAAUGAUGUAAGAA